UAGGGAAUCUUCCGCAAUGGACGCAAGUCUGACGGAGCAACGCCGCGUGAGUGAAGAAGGUUUUCAGAUCGUAAAACUCUGUUGUUAGAGAAGAACAAGUGCUAGAGUAACUGUUAGCGCCUUGACGGUAUCUAACCAGAAAGCCACGGCUAACUACGUGCCAGCAGCCGCGGUAAUACGUAGGUGGCAAGCGUUGUCCGGAUUUAUUGGGCGUAAAGCGAGCGCAGACGGUUCCUUAAGUCUGAUGUGAAAGCCCCCGGCUCAACCGGGGAGGGUCAUUGGAAACUGGGGAACUUGAGCGCAGAAGAGGAGAGUGGAAUUCCAUGUGUAGCGGUGAAAUGCGUAGAUAUAUGGAGGAACACCAGUGGCGAAGGCGACUCUCUGGUCUGUAACUGACGCUGAGGCUCGAAAGCGUGGGUAGCAAACAGGAUUAGAUACCCUGGUAGUCCACGCCGUAAACGAUGAGUGCUAAGUGUUGGAGGGUUUCCGCCCUUCAGUGCUGCAGUUAACGCAUUAAGCACUCCGCCUGGGGAGUACGACCGCAAGGUU
RNAcentral lists this ribosomal RNA (549 nucleotides) under uncultured bacterium. RNAcentral describes it as "bacterial SSU rRNA". It matches the Rfam family "Bacterial small subunit ribosomal RNA", at positions 355 to 895 of the family's 1533-position model. The record is from RNAcentral.